This 269-nucleotide ribosomal RNA is filed under the name uncultured bacterium. RNAcentral's name for it is "partial 16S ribosomal RNA". It matches the Rfam family "Bacterial small subunit ribosomal RNA", at positions 793 to 1055 of the family's 1533-position model. The record is from RNAcentral.
GUCCUGGCCUUAAACGAUGGAUGCUUGGUGUCUGGAGUUUUAUAGUCUCCGGGUGCCGUAGCUAACGCGUUAAGCAUCCCGCCUGGGGAGUACGGUUGCAAGACUGAAACUCAAAGGAAUUGACGGGGACCCGCACAAGCGGUGGAGCAUGUGGUUCAAUUCGACGCAACGCGAAGAACCUUACCUGGGCUAGAAUGCCUCCGACAACCCUAGAGAUAGGGCUUCUUAGGGAAACCUAGGCGGAGUGCAAGGUGCUGCAUGGCUGUCGU